This 977-nucleotide ribosomal RNA is filed under the name uncultured Actinomycetes bacterium. RNAcentral describes it as "bacterial SSU rRNA". It matches the Rfam family "Bacterial small subunit ribosomal RNA", at positions 526 to 1501 of the family's 1533-position model. The record is from RNAcentral. Lineage: Bacteria; Bacillati; Actinomycetota; Actinomycetes.
AGUAGGGGNCAANCNUNUCCGGAUUAUUGGGCGUAAAGGGCUNGUAGGCGUUUGACAAGUCGGGUGUGAANCNUCCAGGCUCAACCUGGAGUCGCCGCUCGAAACUGUUUGUGACUAGAGUCCGGUAGAGGAGCAUGGAAUUUGUGGUGUAGCGGUGGAAUGCGCAGAUAUCACAAGGAACACCAGUAGCGAAGGCGAUGCUCUGGGCCGGUACUGACGCUGAGGAGCGAAAGCAUGGGGAGCGAACAGGAUUAGAUACCCUGGUAGUCCAUGCCGUAAACGUUGGGCACUAGGUGUGGGACUCUCUCAACGGGUUCCGUGCCGUAGCUAACGCAUUAAGUGCCCCGCCUGGGGAGUACGGCCGCAAGGCUAAAACUCAAAGGAAUUGACGGGGGCCCGCACAAGCAGCGGAGCAUGUUGCUUAAUUCGAGGCAACGCGAAGAACCUUACCUGGGCUUGACAUGUAGAGAAAAGCCGUAGAGAUACGGUGUCCUUCGGGGCUCUAUGCAGGUGGUGCAUGGCUGUCGUCAGCUCGUGUCGUGAGAUGUUGGGUUAAGUCCCGCAACGAGCGCAACCCUUGUCCUAUGUUGCCAGCGGGUAAUGCCGGGGACUCGUAGGAGACUGCCGGGGUCAACUCGGAGGAAGGUGGGGACGACGUCAAGUCAUCAUGCCCCUUACGUCCAGGGCUGCAAACAUGCUACAAUGGCUGGUACAACGGGCUGCUAUCCCGCGAGGGUGAGCGAAUCCCAUAAAGCCAGUCUCAGUUCGGAUUGGAGUCUGCAACUCGACUCCAUGAAGCUGGAGUCGCUAGUAAUCCCGGAUCAGCAUUGCCGGGGUGAAUACGUUCCCGGGCCUUGUACACACCGCCCGUCACACCACGAAAGUUGGUAACGCCCGAAGCCGGUGGCCUAACCCUUUUGGGAGGGAGCCGUCGAAGGUGGGAUCAGCGAUUGGGGUGAAGUCGUAACAAGGUAACC